This is a long non-coding RNA of Antechinus flavipes (yellow-footed antechinus), 785 nucleotides long. RefSeq lists it as uncharacterized. The transcript is spliced from 2 exons. NCBI's taxonomy places the organism in Eukaryota, Metazoa, Chordata, Mammalia, Dasyuromorphia, Dasyuridae. The record is from RefSeq and is a predicted model, not a curated record.
UCUCUUUAAAAAUGAGAAACCGUUCCUUGAUUGUUUUGGUCAGAGCAGAACAUUGCUUCUUAAGUCAGAACCGCGCGGUUGCAAUAAAGAGCAAAAAGAUAAAUAUUUGCUUUAAAGCUGCAAGCAAACUUCACCACACCUCCCGAUGGCAUGUAAGAGAGAUGGCUUGAUUUUUCUGAAAUGGUUCACCCAUCCACAGCUGGAAUUCCAAAGAGAAAUGAAAAUGCCUUUAAAAUCAACACUACACGGGAGCCUGAGAGAACAAGUUUUCCUUUGUUGUAGGGUAUAGUAUUAUUUGCUGUAGGUUUUUGAUAUACAUUCUAAAUUAGGCCUGCAAAGGCAUGCUUCAUCUUUAAUUCAUCACUCUCAGCUGAAAGAGAUUAGCAAUGUCUAGCACGCACCCCUCGUAUGGUGCUGACCUCAUCAAGUAUGGCCUGAAAUUAAUUAGCCUCAUUCAUUCCAAAUGGAAAAGGAUAAUGGAGCAGCAUUUUAGAGAUGACCAUCACAAAUUGUAUGCAGCAUAUUUAAAAGGCCUCUAUUUUCAAACCAUGUAGAUUAAAAUUCUUUCUAGGGUUUGCAAUAUGUCAGAGUUAUAAAGGCACCUAGAGCAGAAAUUAGUCACUGUUUAUUCCUCUACUAAAGAAUUAAAAGUUAUAUGUAAGUCUGCAUAUGUAUUUAAAUGUCUGAAAACAGGUUUCCUUAAUGAAAGAACACUUGAAAAUGCUAUAUUAUACUUGAUCAUCAAAAGAUUGAAGUUUAAUAAUGAAUUAAAUGAUCUAAUGAAA